This 86-nucleotide non-coding RNA is filed under the name Sediminibacillus albus. RNAcentral describes it as "c-di-GMP-I riboswitch aptamer". It matches the Rfam family "c-di-GMP-I riboswitch aptamer". From Rfam's summary of the family: GEMM was predicted in a large-scale screen for bacterial structured RNA regulatory elements. Genes associated with GEMM are involved in a diverse array of functions, including chemotaxis regulation, signal transduction, secretion and chitin. Lineage: Bacteria; Bacillati; Bacillota; Bacilli; Caryophanales; Bacillaceae. The record is from Rfam by way of RNAcentral.
UUAGUAUAAGGGCAAACCUAAUGAAAGUUAGGGACGCAAAGCUAGAGGGGCUAAGGAUAAUAAAUCUAGGCCAGCCAGUUGCCGGU